RNAcentral lists this ribosomal RNA (772 nucleotides) under uncultured bacterium. RNAcentral describes it as "bacterial SSU rRNA". It matches the Rfam family "Bacterial small subunit ribosomal RNA", at positions 33 to 769 of the family's 1533-position model. The record is from RNAcentral.
ACGCUGGCGGCAUGCCUAAGACAUGCAAGUCGAACGGAGUUUCACUCCUGCGGCGGACUUCGGUCCAAAGCUUUGUGAAACUUAGUGGCGAACGGGUGAGUAACAGGUAGACAACUUGCCUCAACGACUGGGAUAACACUGGGAAACUGGUGCUAAUACCGGAUAGGAUAUAGAUUCGCAUGAAUUUAUAUUUAAAGAUGGGUUAAACCAUCACGAUGAGAGAGGUCUGCUUCGUAUUAGCUAGUUGGUAGGGUAAUGGCCUACCAAGGCAAUGAUGCGUAGCCGAGCUGAGAGGCUGAUCGGCCACACUGGAACUGAGACACGGUCCAGACUCCUACGGGAGGCAGCAGUUAGGGAUAUUCGGCAAUGGACGAAAGUCUGACCGAGCAAUGCCGCGUGAAUGAAGAAGUAUUUCGAUAUGUAAAGUUCUGUUGUAAGGGAAGAAUGGUUGUGAUAGGAAAUGAUCACAAUUUGACGGUACCUUACCAGAAAGCCCCGGCUAACUACGUGCCAGCAGCCGCGGUAAUACGUAGGGGGCGAGCGUUAUCCGGAAUUAUUGGGCGUAAAGGGUGCGUAGGCGGCCUUAUAAGUCUGAGUUGAAAGCCCACGGCUUAACCGUGGAGGGUGCUCGGAAACUGUAAGGCUUGAAUCCAGAAGAGGCAAGUAGAAUUCUAUGUGGAGCGGUGGAAUGCGUAGAUAUAUGGAGGAAUACCAGUGGCGAAGGCGGCUUGCUGGUCUGGGAUUGACGCUGAGGCACGAAAGCGUGGGGAGC